RNAcentral lists this unclassified non-coding RNA (229 nucleotides) under plant metagenome. Its description in RNAcentral is "partial contains small subunit ribosomal RNA, internal transcribed spacer 1, and 5.8S ribosomal RNA". The record is from RNAcentral.
UCUCCGUAGGUGAACCUGCGGAGGGAUCAUUACAGAGUUCUCGCCCUCGCGGGUAGAUCUCCCACCCACUGUUAUCGUUACUGUGUUGCUUUGGCGGGCCGCCGGGCCCCGCUCGGCCGCCGGCUCCGGCUGGCGCGCGCCCGCCAGAGGCCCAGCAAACUCUGAAUGUUAGUGUCGUCUGAGUACUAUAUAAGAGUCAAAACUUUCAACAACGGAUCUCUUGGUUCUG